Molecule: long non-coding RNA, 907 nt
Organism: Sorghum bicolor (sorghum)
Lineage: Eukaryota; Viridiplantae; Streptophyta; Magnoliopsida; Poales; Poaceae
Exons: 2
Source: RefSeq, a predicted model, not a curated record
AUGGCUCUACUCAGCAGCGGCGCAUCCUCUGCGCGCGGCACCCCCGAUGAAGGCGCGUCCUAUCGUAGCGGAGCCUAAUCCCGGUCAUCAGCGCCGGAUGGACCCAUCGCCAUCACCAACGACGACCAUCCCCACCCACGACGCUGGCUGCAGUGGCCCUCCCAUCGGCGCCAUCCUCGCCGGCGGAUCCAUCGAGGGGCCAGCGAUCCGGCAUGCAUGGAUCCAUCGGGAGGGAGCGGGUGGAGGCUACCCUUUGCAGCGGUGUUAGCAGCCUCCUGGUGGCGAUGCUCCGGCAAUGGUGUCACGCCCUCGACUCGUGUGCACACGAUCGAUGCGCCCCGGCGAUGGCGGUGCACCAGCCUCGCUCGACUCGAGCGCACGACUCCUCCUCCUCCCCCACCGGCCAAUGUCGAGGCGCUGCUCCUUCCCCAUCCGCUGAUGGCGUCGACGGGGUCGGGUUCUCGCCUGAGGACGGUCACACCUGUCUCAUGCCCCCAACAGCGCUACCUCCCCCGAGCAACCUAAUCUCUCGGGCUCCCUGCAAGAAAGUUAAAUGUGCUCUGCAGAGUACAUGCUCUGCGACAUGCAACCGUUGGAUGGAGAUUCUGCUCACUGAUCUCCCUAGUUUCUUACAGACAAUUUCUCUACGACGACGACCGUCUCCAGCAAGGAAUAAUGCGUUGUUGCUGGCGACUAGCACAUACAUGUGGUUCAGCGCUUGACCAAAUAUGAGCUCCACCUCAGCAACGCUGAUGCUAUUCUCUUCAUGGUACACAGCACCAACCAACCAGCUAGGAGUGGCGCAUCAUGGUCUAAUUUUGUUUACAUGGUACAAUUAGUAGUAAUAUUGAUGUAUUGAAUGUGAUCUUGGAUUGUAAUUGAAUGUAUUAGCACUUGUUAAUGUUGA